UACAGAGGCCCCAAGCAUUAUCCGGAUUUACUGGGCGUAAAGGGUGCGUAGGCGGUGAUACUAGUCAGAUGUUAAAUCCUCGGGCUCAACCCGAGAAUCGCAUUUGAAACGGUAUCGCUAGAAGAUGUGAGAGGUAAGCAGAACUCACGGUGUAGGGGUGAAAUCCGUUGAUAUCGUGGGGAAUACCAAAUGCGAAGGCAGCUUACUGGCACACUCUUGACGCUGAGGCACGAAAGCGUGGGUAGCGAACGGG
RNAcentral lists this unclassified non-coding RNA (253 nucleotides) under uncultured Parcubacteria group bacterium. RNAcentral describes it as "contains 16S-23S intergenic spacer region". It matches the Rfam family "Bacterial small subunit ribosomal RNA", at positions 524 to 776 of the family's 1533-position model. The record is from RNAcentral.